Molecule: long non-coding RNA, 930 nt
Organism: Mustela erminea (ermine)
Lineage: Eukaryota; Metazoa; Chordata; Mammalia; Carnivora; Mustelidae
Exons: 2
Source: RefSeq, a predicted model, not a curated record
GGGGCUUGAUCCCAGGACCCUGAGAUCAUGACCGGAGCCGAAGGCAGAGGCUUUAGCCCACGGAGCCACCCAGGCACCCCUGAGCUUUUUGUUUUAAUCUUGAGGUUACUUUUAUUUAGUGGUUCUGCGUGGGCUGUCUUCAGAUAACAAACACACCUAAGAGAUGCAGCUGCGAGAGUCCCACUGGAAGAAUGGCCUUUGUUCUGCAAGCGCUGGCCGCACUUCCUAUCCGGAGCCCCUGCCCACUGCAGCCUGGGCGCGUUGAGGACACUUGACUCUGUAACCAAAAGUUCUGGAGCAGUUUACACAAAUCAAAGGGAGGCUGCGUGCUUAGACCUUCGGAUUCUUUUCCUUUUUCCUUUUGGGGGAAAGUGAUAAAAAUCAUCUUCUCUGGGUCACAAAGAAUAGUUAAUCCAGGUUGGUCUUUGGAAAUGACACGCGUCGGGCACAGGCCAGACUCGAUCCUCUGCUGGUCGCGAGCCGGUCAGGACUGACUGCACGCUGGCCCGGCCUGAUCGUCGUGCUGGCGGGGGAAGGAGUGAGACUUUCCAGUUCUCCGUCAUCGCGGACAGCACAGGCUGCUUGCACAUGAACCCGACUGGCCACCACGUCGAUGUCCCUGCAGUUCAGUGUCUCUCUGUGAGCCCUCCGACCAUCAUGCAGACCGCGGUGGUGUCGGCCUGCUGACGGUGCCCCCACCCCCUGGGCCCGCCCUCCUCGGCCCCUCCCCCACACGACGGUCCCAGAGCUCUCACCAAGGUGAUCGGGGCGCUGACCCCUGACGUGUUUUCCCACCCAUCUCCUCAAGGGCUGUUGACUGGUCCUGCACGCCCCCCUGACCCAGCGUGAGGGUUUGUUCCUAAGACCAAUAGGGGCAGAAGCCUCUGGAAGGAGAUAGAAAUAAGUAAAAAUUGUAAUCCCUUGAAAAUA